GACGAACCGUGCAAACGUUGUUCGGAUUCACUGGGCUUAAAGGGCGCGUAGGCGGCUUGUCAAGUCAGGGGUGAAAUCUUUCGGCUCAACCGGAAAACAGCUUCUGAUACUGGCAGGCUGGAGGGAGGUAGGGGCAGAUGGAACUUCCGGUGGAGCGGUGAAAUGCGUAGAUAUCGGAAGGAACGCCGGUGGCGAAAGCGAUCUGCUGGACCUCUUCUGACGCUGAUGCGCGAAAGCCAGGGGAGCAAACGGG
RNAcentral lists this ribosomal RNA (253 nucleotides) under uncultured prokaryote. RNAcentral's name for it is "partial 16S ribosomal RNA". It matches the Rfam family "Bacterial small subunit ribosomal RNA", at positions 524 to 776 of the family's 1533-position model. The record is from RNAcentral.